GAGGGGCCGAGGCCCCCGAGGAUCCUUGGGGGGCCGGGCCUCCGCGGUCGCGCGGUUGCGAAGGCGAGGACUGGGACAAGGACCCCGAGGGCCGGAUUGGUUGAAUGGGCACGAGGCACGAUGCUCCCGCCCCCUGGUUGUCAGGGCCCAGCCUAUCCGCGUCCAGGCGGGCCUCGGUCGCCAGGUGGUUGGGGUCGGGGGGGCCGGGGCAGGUGUGUGUGUCGGGAGGAAGGGGCUAGGCCCUCCCGGGACUCCCAAGGGAUUCCGCCGAAGCCCCUGCGGCUGGGAAUCGGGGGCCCUCCGGCUCGGGAGCCGAGAAGCCGCGCCUCCCUCCACAGCGCCUCUCCCCGCCGCCCCCGGCGCGCUCCCGCCCACCGCCUCCCGGGUCUGGAACGAGCGCGCGCGCCCCCGUCUCCCAUCGGCGGCGGAGGGGCGGGCCCGGCUCCCGGCGCCACCGCCCGCAGCCCCCUCCCCUCGCCCGCCCGCCGCACGCUGCAGCCCCGGCGCUCCCGCCCGGCCCCACCCCAGACGACCCAGCGUGGAGAGGCGGGCGGCCGGAGCCCGAGGUGCGGGAUGGACAAGAGGGACAAGGGCAGGUCAGGGGCGGCCACGCGGACGCCGGCUUCUCGCCCUCCAGGCCUUCCUACCCCCAGGCCCCCAGGGUCUCCCCGACCUCCUCCUCCAGUAACCAGCGCGGCUCUCCGCGUCCUGGGAGCAGCGGGAGCUGCGGGGCGAGGGCCCCUGGCUGAGCGAUCCGGGGGUAUCCGGGCAGCCGCUCUCCCGGAGGCUGGUCCCCGGGUGGGACCAACACAGAGCGCUGGGACAGGCCCCCGGAGUCCAGCCUCCAGGCCCCCAGCUGCUGGGAGAGGGGAGCGGGCCCUUGCCAAGACCUCAGGCCCAGGCUCUAUCUCCAGCCCAGGACGUGCCAGCGGGACCACCAGGCUAGGCUCUCUUGCACAGAAGGGGCUUCGUCCCCCAGCUGAGGAACCCGUGACCAGAGGAAAAGCCCCAGAAACCCCCAGAAGGAGCGCGCUGAGCGCUGGGGCACGGAGAGACUCUUCUGGGCCCUCCCCAGGCGCCCCUUCCCCAGCCACCUCCCGUCGGUCUCGGGCUGCAGGCGCUGAAGUCGGUCUCCCUCGGGCAGCUCCCAGUGCCCGGCCGCGGCCUCCAACCGAGGCUCCCAGGAAAUCAGUGAGCAGUGCCCCGCAGCAUGUUACCGCAGAGCCGAGCCCCGCCGCCAGGAGGCGACCCGGCGCCGGCGGAGGCCUCCAGAAGCCAGCCUCGCGCCCCUUGGGGUCCAGCGCCACUCCUCUGUCCUCUCCCGCCCGCUCUGGGGCCUCACCGGGUGGAACACCUCGGGCUCUGGGGCAUCCCUCGCCGCCCAAGACGAAAGGGGUGCAGGUUCUGCGCCCCCGCCAGUCCACACCCCCAAGGAAGGGCGCAACCCCUGCGCAGGGUCUUCCUCCUCCUUUAGCCACACCCUCUCCGCCGGGUUCGAGGGCACAACUGGCACCGCCUCCGCAUAUCACCGGCACUCCCCUGCCUGCCACGCUCCCUCCCUCUCCACCGACCACGCCCCCUUCUCAAUCCGCAAAUGGUCCUUUGGCCACGCCUCUUUCUCUAGCCCCUCCUCCCUCCGCUCCACUCCCUCCUCAGACCCUCCCCUCUCCGCCAGCCACACCUCCUUUGCAAGACCCACCCACACACCUGGGUACCUCCUUUUUGGAGGCGUCCGCCUCUCCCACGAACACUUUACUGGCUUCAUUCUCUCCAUCAUCGUCAACCCCUCUGCAGAGUAUGCCCCCAACCCAGGCUUCUCCAGCUUUGCCCCCUCUUCUGACUCCCCCCUCUUCCUUGGCCACAUCUCCUUUGUUGGCUCCAGGACCACCAAGCAAGACCCCACUCCAAGCCCCUCUUACUCAAGCAACGUCUCUGCUAAACCCGCCCUCUCCCCAAGCCACACCCCCUCUGCAGGGCCUUUCCACUUCGACUACUACUCCUCCACUGGCCAGUCCUUCCCUAUCUCCUCCCUCUCUUGAGGCCACACCCUAUACAGUGACCACGCCUCCCACACAGGACACCUCUCCGGCCACAUACCCUCUGCAAGCCUCUCCCUGUCCUCUGACCACCUUCUCUUCACAGGGUCCUCCUCCUCCUCUGUGCUCCCCGUAUCCCUUGGCCUCACCAUCUCUGCAGGCUGCACCCUCUGCCCUGGCCGUGCCCACUCCACAGACCCCACCUCCUCUGGCCACACCCCAUCUACAGGCCACUCCCUCUUCGGCCCCGCUCCCUACACAGGCCCCACCUUCUCUGGCCUCACCUCCUCCGCAGGCCCCACCCUCUUCCCUAACCACUGCUCCUCAACAAACUGCAGUGUCUCUGGCCACACCCCCUCUGCAGGCUAGUCCAUCCCCGAGCGUGCUCCCAGUUCAGGCCCCACUCUCUCCGGUAUCACCCCCUUUGCAUGACCCUUCCUCUCCCUUGGCCGUACCCCCUCCCCAGGCUCAACCUUCCCUGGCUUUGCCUCCUCUUCAGGCUCCUCCUUCUCCCCCUGCCUCACCCUCUCCGCGGGCCCCUCCCUCUCCUGUGACCCCGCCCUCCCCGCGGGCCCCACCCUCCCCUGUGGCCAUACCCUCUCCGCGGACCCCUUCCUCUCCCCUGGCCACACCGUCUUCGAAGGCUCCACCUUCCCUGGCCUUACCUCCUCUGCAGAUCCCGACUCUCCCUUUGCAGGCCACGCCCUCUCCCCUGGCCACGCCUCCUCAGGCUCCACCUUCCCUGGCCUUGCCUCCUCUACAGGCCUCUCCACGCCCUUUGCAGGCUCCUCCCUCCGUGGCCACGCCCCCUCCUCAGACUCCACCUUCCCUGGCUCUGCCCCCUCUGCAAGUCCCUCCCUCUCCCCCGGACUCACCCCCUCUGCAGGCCCCUCGCCGCCCCCCGACCCCAGGUCCGGAUGCCCCGAUCCCGGGCCCACGGCUGACCCUGGCGCUGGCCCCGGCUCCGCCGCCACCGCCCUCGCGCAGCCCGUCCAGCACGCUGAGUGGCCCGGAUCUGGCGGGCCACAGCAGCAGCGCCACCAGCACGCCGGAAGAGCUGCGCGGCUACGACAGUGGGCCCGAGGGCGGCGCCGCGGCCUCCCCGCCCGCCGACGCGGAGCUCGCCGCCUGCCACCCGGCCUCCUGGAGCCGAGGUCCCGCUCCGCCGCUGGCCGUCCGCAGCACCCCAGGCUCGGAGCCACCAGGUGGCGGGCAGAAGCUUCCAGAUAAAGCCAUUCAAGAUGAGGCAGCAGCAGAAGCAGGUGAGAGAAGAUGGCAGGCCUUGCAGAAGCAGGGGAGAGAGGAGUGAGACCAGAGAACCAAAGAACCAGCAGGAGAGGACCCGGAGGAAGAGCAAAGCCAGAGCUGGCUCCGUCCUGGAGAGGGACGUGUGUGUCUGGGCAGGCGCGGGUGUGGAUGGUUGGAUCUUAAGUGUGUUCUGAACGAAGACCAACCAGACCCUCCAUCUUCCUGAAGCCCCGAGACCCCACACUCAUCCAUUAUUAAUGGGGGAGCUGCCUCUCUGUGGGCCACACAGAACAUUUUCCGGAUUCUUCCGGGAAGAAGAAGGUGAUGGAAACACCUAGAACACUCUCGGGAAGCAUCUGCAGUCAGAGAAUCACAGAUGUGAUUCACAGUCAUUCACCGAUGUCAUGCAUGGGGAAACUGAGUCAGAGGGGGGCAGUGUCUUGUCUGAGCCCCGCAGCUUGCCUGGGUUAGAGGUGUUUCAGGCACAAGUCUCUGCCCCACAUCUGGAAUCAGGAGUCCGGAUCUCUUGGAGGGCUCUUGCCCCAUCUCUGGGCUUGACCCACCACUCUGUAAGCACAGAGAUCCUCGAGAAGUUCGAUGUGGCCAAGUAACAACUCCCCUCUCCCGCUUACUCCAAAGAGAAAACGACACAAGGAGUGAGCCGGAACUGCGGGGUCUAGGUAUACAUCAGGCUUUUUUUUUUUCUUCUGUAUUUUUGAUGCUCUGACAUCUAGCCACGCGGCCGGUCUUGGAGAGACUGCCCCGCCUGGGACUGGCUGAUUCCUAGACACAGCAAACCAGUAGUAGUGUGCCUUUCAGAUGCAAACCAGCCAACCCAGUGCCUACACCCACCUACUACAUCUCACUCAUGCCAUCCUGCCCAAUGUUCUCUCUGCCUUAAAUUGCCCCCAAGACAACGAGGGACCCCCUGUAGACUGCAGCUCCCUGAAACUGUUCAAAGGAACCAACCUUUAACUCAAACUCGACUACCCAGCCUUGCCCAUUCUUUUCUGUGGAGACCACAAUAAAGGCUCUGGCCCAUGCUUUGCCCCCUCACCCUCUGCCUCCGGACCCACUCUGAUGCUUCCCCAUGUUGCCAAGCAUGGUGGGGCGUGCCCCCUCCCUUUGGGAACUAUGAAUAAUAAACUCUUCUUUCAAAGGCA
Molecule: RNA transcript, 4447 nt
Organism: Mustela lutreola (European mink)
Lineage: Eukaryota; Metazoa; Chordata; Mammalia; Carnivora; Mustelidae
Gene: PRR36
Gene name: proline rich 36
Exons: 8
Source: RefSeq, a predicted model, not a curated record